UACGUAGGGUGCAAGCGUUGUCCGGAAUUAUUGGGCGUAAAGAGCUCGUAGGCGGUUUGUCGCGUCUGCUGUGAAAACUCGGGGCUUAACUCCGGGCCUGCAGUGGGUACGGGCAGACUAGAGUUCGGUAGGGGAGACUGGAAUUCCUGGUGUAGCGGUGAAAUGCGCAGAUAUCAGGAGGAACACCGAUGGCGAAGGCAGGUCUCUGGGCCGAUACUGACGCUGAGGAGCGAAAGCGUGGGGAGCGAACAGG
RNAcentral lists this ribosomal RNA (253 nucleotides) under uncultured bacterium. RNAcentral describes it as "partial 16S ribosomal RNA". It matches the Rfam family "Bacterial small subunit ribosomal RNA", at positions 524 to 776 of the family's 1533-position model. The record is from RNAcentral.